GGGUCGCUAGCUCAACUGGCAGCAGCAAUUGACUCUUAAUCAAUAGGUUCCGGGUUCGAGUCCCGGGCGACCCA
Molecule: transfer RNA, 74 nt
Filed under: Acidimicrobiia bacterium
Lineage: Bacteria; Bacillati; Actinomycetota; Acidimicrobiia
Also listed under: 1 other name
Description: tRNA-Lys
Rfam family: tRNA
About the family: Transfer RNA (tRNA) molecules are approximately 80 nucleotides in length. Their secondary structure includes four short double-helical elements and three loops (D, anti-codon, and T loops).
Source: RNAcentral